GUGUGGAUUUAUUUACAAACAAUUGAAAUGGUAAAUUCGCAACUUUGUGCACCUUACGUCAUGUUCUCUUGAUACCCAAAUUAUUAAAUGAGUUCUACUGGUAGUUGUACUAGUGGAACUUUUAAAGUGCAUCCAUUCAAUUAAAACUCACAGACUCUCCAAUGCUAAUACUAGAGAAAGGAACCUAUGAACUGUGCGGUUAUUUGUAGCGCAUAAAAUACAUAAAAACAUACAUAUCAAGUUAUCAACAUGUCAUACAAUAAUAAACUUUAUGAUAUCGUGAAUAUAUUUAUGAUUAACAAUCUCAGAAUGAGAGCUUAAACUAAAAUGUAAAGUAUAUAUAUAAAUAAUCACUCUAUAUGUAAAUAUAUAUGCAUGCAGCUUAUAAACAUUGUCUAUCUAUGCGGGGCUCUAAUUUUGAUUUAAAAACAUAGGCCUAGGCUGUUGCCUUAUUUUCAUAAGGGUAGGCAUGGCUUUGUUAUGCUCUAACUUAGAAGUAAAAAGUAUUUUUUUAAAAAAAUAAGUAGAAAAUGUAUUAGAAAAUAUAUGAAAAUUUAUCUACUUUUCAAAAAAAAAAUCAAACUAAUCAGAUAAUAAAUUUUGUAUUUUAUUAUUUUAUUAUUUCUAAAAAAUUCUAAAACUGUUUCUUUAUAAUAUUUUAAUAACUAAUAUGGGGUAAAAUAGACCAAAAUGGUAGAUAACUGAAAAUGUGAAUUAGGACAAAUAAUUACCUAAUUAAUUAAUUUGUUCCAUAUUAGCAAAUUAGGAUUGGGUACUAAUGUGUGUGAGAUAUCAAACUAAGUCCCACAUUGGAGAAUUAGACAAGAAGUGUCUAAUAUAUUAAGAGAUGUCCAACUCUAAUUAGUACGAGACCUUUUGGGAAGGAGCCCAAAAAUAAAUCCAUGCGGGCCAGCCAAUUAGAUCCAAAGUGUGCAAUAUCAUACUAAUCAGAUAAUAUAGAGUUGGACAUGGGCUCACACAAUUUUCAACAAUUGGUAUCAGAGCUAUUGACGAGAAAUCUGCAAGAAGACCAAAAUACCUUUUGAGAGAUGAAUGGCAUCCUAUGAGUUAGGAAUGAGAGGUGUGUGGCAGAGAUCAAGUCAAGAAGAUCCUGAAAGUCAGUUGUGGGACACGAGAUGAAUUGGUCCUUAGUUUGAGGGGGAGAAUGUGAGAUAUCAAACUAAAUCCCAUAUUGGAGAAUUAGACAAGGAGUAUCUAAUAUAUUAGGAAGGAGCCCAAAAGUAAAUCCAUGCGGACCAGCCAAUUAGACCCAAAGUGGACAAUAUCAUACUAAUCGGAUAAUAUAGUGUUGGACAUGGGCUCCCACAAUUUCAACAAUGGGUCUUUAAAUCUACGGGCUAUGGCCCACACACCCAUAAUACAAUCUUCAUCUUCUUGGUGGGUUUUUUUUCUUUUGUUUCUUCUUUUGUUUUUCUUUUCGUCUCUACUCCCUUUAAUUAAAAGCUUCGUGUUUGUUGUUGCAGGUUUGAAGGUUAAACUCUACUCUUAAGGUUGGUUUUUGUCUUUUAUCUAAGUUCAUGCUUUAGUCUCUCUCUCUAGCUUUAUAGUUCUUGUAUAAAGCUUAAAUCUCUAUUUUGUUAAUUUGUUGCUUUCGUCUGCCUUUAAUGUUUAUAUUUUCAUUUGAAAAAAAAAACUGAAAUGGUUAUUAAUUGAUGUUAUCAUUUCCUCUUGCAGUAUGAGUGACCGAGUAACCUAUCGUGAUAUGGGGAUCAUGGAAGAGGUUCUCAAUCAACGCCAAAAAUAGGUGUGUAAAAAAAAAUGGUUAAAUAUAUAUGAUUUUAAUUAUGUAUAAAAAGAAAAGUUAAGACCAACAUAAGUUAAUUUCAUAACACGUCUCAAGAUGUCUAAUUAAGAUUAUUUGGGAAUUGUUGUGAAAGUAAUGGAAAAGUCUAUCUUUAUUCAUAACAUAGAGGUUCCUUAUAUAGAAGAUUACACCGUCAUAGAUAAAUGGAAAGUGUACAAAUCAUAUUCCAACUAGGAAUAAGAAAAACAUAAAGACAUAAGGAAAAAGAAAAGGAAAAGCUGUCUAGCUGUACGUAUUGUUGUACACCGUAUCGACGAAUACCGAGGUAUGUUUAUUCUUGGCCCAGUUAAACCCAAUUUUUAAAGACACAUUAAAAUAAUCCUGCAGGAGAAUCUGAGACAGAUAGUUUAAAUGCAACUAGAAAAAAUAAUCAAUGAAGGAGUCCUAAUUAAGGAUUAAUUGUAUAAAAGCAUGUUGUAAUUAUAAUUAAUGCUGAUGGUAUAAUCUCUUGGUUAUGAGUCAUCCACAAUCUGGUUGAUAACAAGAAUCAAAUAUUGUAUAAUAUUGUAUACACCACUUCAUGACAUGCGUUAAUUAUAAUUACAACAUGCUUUUAUACAAUUAAUCCUUAAUUAGGACUCCAUCAUUGAUUAUUUUUUCUAGUUGCAUUUAAACUAUCUGUCUCAGAUUCUCCUGCAACCAAAACAAAAAAAAAUAUAAUCCAGCAGGAGAGUACAUUGGUGCGUUCAGACAAUAAACAGUUUAGUCUUCGUCAACGAACAAGAUCUCGACAGUAGAGUUCAAAAUAAAACACGCUCAAUGAUGAGCUUAUUUAAGCGGCUUCAAGCGAGCUUAUUUAAGCAGCUUCAAGCUCUCUGUUGUAAGCGAGGGUAAGACGGUCAAGCAUUUCUCCUGCGUUUCUGCUUGAGCUGUCCAUUGCAGACAUUCCAGCUCCCAUCUCACUACACGCAUUCUCCAGCACCGCAUUGAACAUUACCUAAAACGUAGAGUUUAUAAUUAACUCCCUAUGUUUCUUUCUAUCCGUUUAUAAACCAUAAAAGCAAAGUUUGUAUCUUAUUUGUGUUACUUACACAAGAGAACUGGAACUCAGCCAGAUUCUGCAGAAUCUCUCUCUUUGUUUCACCAGCUUCAAUCUCGCAUGAGUCAAGUUCACCGAGUUUGCCUCCAACUUCAAAUUCCUUUUCGAUAAUAUUUCAAGGCAAAAACAAGAAUAAAUAUAUGUGAGAUGCUAAGAACAAAGAGCAAAAAUGAUUGAAAAGAGGAUAUACUUUUCUAACGAUUUGCAGCCUCCUUCUUCAUACUGAUUGGAAAAACAGAUUAAAGGCUCUAGAAUAAAGAGUUACAUCUCAUCGUAUCAACAAACCCCUAAAACAUUAUUUUCUGGAGCUUCCACCACCGUUAACAAACGUAAAAGUAAAAAUGCCAACGGCCCUUAGCCACCUCCACGCAGUGUCUCAUCCUCCUCUUUAACCACAGAUGAUUUCAUGGAAAAUCCACCCAAGAUAAUGUAUAGAGAAUAUGAUUAGAAGAGUUAAAUCAUCACAAAGCCUCGUCUUUGAACGUAGAUGAAAAUCAAAAUAUAUACUGAAGAACGUACUAAGAGAGACGAAGAAGAAACUCAUCAGGAAGAAGAAGGCUUCGUGCUCUUCUCCUUGGAAUCAGAAGAUCCUUACUUUGAUUUGAAGAAAUCCAUGGAAAAGAUGGAGAAGUCGUCGCCGUUGGUGAAUCGGUGGAGAAGCAAUUCGGAGGGGAUCGGUUCCCCCGUGUCGAAGUAGAACACAGUGAUGUGGUUGUCAAUGUGGAGAUGAGCGGCGAAGAUGAAGCUCUUGAGAGAUUUUGAGAGUCCUUGCCGAUUGCCGGCAGUAGAGAGGAGAUGAUCUCCGGCGAAAGAGUUUUGUGUUUUGAUCAAAUAAGGACAGGAGCGGAGAGAGUGUGUGACUGAGGUAUCCACCGUAGGGUGCUUCGGCUAUCCAUUACUCCGCUGAGCCGGAACUGUUAGCUUUUAACCUAAUUAACGAUUGGAGAUCUAGAAUCUAAAAAGGCAAACAUUAUGUUCAAAGCAUACACAAAUAAUACAUUGGUCAAAAGUAACAUCGAAAGCAGAAAUAUUUAUUCUCUAAAUGGGGCCCGCUAAAUGAAUACCUGUCGCCGUGGACACUCUUAAGGGUAGCAAAAUUCUCCAACGAAACCAAAAGCUCAAAUGUGAAUCAAUGCCUUCUCAACAAAACAAAAUAAUGGGACAGUUGUCACCACCUCCUUGCCCUAUUUGAUGAGGUGGCAAGAGGAGAAGAAAAUAAUCUUAUUCUUUGCAUUAUAAGAUAUGUAAUUUAGCUACGUUAGAUCAUCAAAUAUUUACCAGAAUUCAUUUCCAAUCUUCGGUAGAAAUAAAUCAAACAUCAGAAUACAUGUUCUGCUCUGCGAACUGUGUAGGGAUUUAUGCUAGUGUGGAUUUAUUUACAAACAAUUGAAAUGGUAAAUUCACAACUUUGUGCACCUUACGUCAUGUUCUCUUGAUACCCAAAUUAUUAAAUGAGUUCUACUGGUAGUUGUACUAGUGGAACUUUUAAAGUGCAUGCAUUCAAUUAAAACUCACAGACUCUCCAAUGCUAAUACUAGAGAAAGGAACCUAUGAACUGUGCGGUUAUUUGUAGCGCAUAAAAUACAUAAAAACAUACAUAUCAAGUUAUCAACAUGUCAUACAAUAAUA
Molecule: long non-coding RNA, 4493 nt
Filed under: Brassica napus (rape)
Lineage: Eukaryota; Viridiplantae; Streptophyta; Magnoliopsida; Brassicales; Brassicaceae
Description: long non-coding RNA (BNAP_LNC013806)
Source: RNAcentral